Loxodonta africana (African savanna elephant) is the source of this 71-nucleotide transfer RNA. It matches the Rfam family "tRNA". Rfam says of the family: Transfer RNA (tRNA) molecules are approximately 80 nucleotides in length. Lineage: Eukaryota; Metazoa; Chordata; Mammalia; Proboscidea; Elephantidae. The record is from Rfam.
GCACUGGUGGUUCGGUGGUAGAAUUCUCGCCUCCUGUGCAAGAGAUCUGGGUUUGAUUCCCAGCCAGUACA